UUGGCAUGUUUCUGUAAAAACAGUUCAGCUGGGACCCGUCUUUUGGAAGUAGUUUGCACAAGUUGCCAUGUCCAAUUUUCUCAAUUAUCCUUGUUCAUAAUUUUUAUAUAAUGUUAGCUAGGUUGAGGAUUCUUAUGGUAAUAUUUUUUGUAGAAAAUAAGAAAUAACAUGGGCAAUGACCAAAUUAACGUUUAUAGGUAUGAUAUCCAAAUGUGGGGGAAGGGCAAUUUCAGAACAUGUUUGGAUAACCAUUAUCGAUUGUG
This 263-nucleotide long non-coding RNA is filed under the name Elaeis guineensis (African oil palm). RNAcentral's name for it is "long non-coding RNA (EGUI_LNC081166)". Lineage: Eukaryota; Viridiplantae; Streptophyta; Magnoliopsida; Arecales; Arecaceae. The record is from RNAcentral.